RNAcentral lists this long non-coding RNA (9918 nucleotides) under Brachypodium distachyon (stiff brome). Its description in RNAcentral is "long non-coding RNA (BDIS_LNC003432)". Lineage: Eukaryota; Viridiplantae; Streptophyta; Magnoliopsida; Poales; Poaceae. The record is from RNAcentral.
CCACCCCUCCCCACCAUCACCCGCCGCCAAUGCUUUUCCUUUCCCAGAUCCAACUCCUCUUCGUUCCCCUGCCGGCUGGUGGUCUCUCUUAGAUCCGAUUCAGUCCAGCAAGUUGUCUCUCUCUCUCUCUCUUCGUCGAGUAUUGGCGUGAUGGAGGUUGGCCAACAGCCGGCGUCAUCGAGGAGCUUCGGCGACCGGAGAGGCAGGCAUCGGUGAUGAGCUACGCGCGACGUGCACUCGGGUUCCGCCGCCGUGACGUCGCCGGAUCUGGACGCGCCGUGCCUCGACGCGGCGAGUUGCGCACACUGGUGCGAGACGGCGGCGUCUCCCGCGAGUUGCGCGCACUUGUGCGAGACGGCGUCGUCUUCGGCGAGCAGUGAGCUCCUCUCUUUUCGUCCUUUUUUUUCAUCUGCGAGCGGUGAGCCCCUUCCUCUGCAGCUUUGGUGGCAUGGGAUGCGGUGAAGCCGCUGCUGACGGAGGUGGAGUUGGUGCCGCUGCAGGCAAUAGAUGUGCCCGUCAGUAUCCUCUUCACCUCCAUCCGCCACACCGACGUCUACUUUUGAGAUUCCAGGGUAUGCAUAUAUUGGUGCCUCGGUGCUUCUGAUGCUUUGCUAUAAUGUGUUAGCUACUUAAUCCUGAUGUAUACUUGUAAGUAGUUUACUUGUUGCUUAGCUGAAUAAUUGGGGCCACAUAGUGGGUGUGUGUGUGUGUACAUGACUUGGCCCCUGCUCUUUAUGUUAGCAGUCGCUGUAAUUGGGGUCGUCAGAUCUUGUCGAUUAGCGGAUCUUGGUGAUCAGGGCGCGCUGGCUGAGACGUUGUGGGAUGGCGCAACAUAUCCUGCAGAUUUUUUUUAUCUGUUCUGAACUGAAAACAAAGAGUAAAAACCAUAUUAUCUUGAUCUUUGGCACUGUGAACACUUCAUGGUUGAUUUGAACAUCCUGAUUAGCCACAGAUUCUUUGUUGAUUGAUACUUCAGUUCCGUUCACUAUUGAACUCAAUUUAAUGCUUCUAUUUGAUAUUAUCAUUAAUGUGUAGUAGUCAUCUUUGUGCAGCUCAAAAUUCUAUCUAACUAGUUAAGUGCCCGUGCGUUGCAACAGAAAAAUGAGCAUUCUAGAACUUAACAAGAAGAAUGACAAACAUGAAAAAUUGACGCAUGGUCAUCGUCAUCAGAUAAGGAGACACCACUGCUUAUGAACAUGUACAUAGUCCAAGUCAUAUAAUCAAUAAUUGUGACAAUAUGAGAGGUAAAAAAAAUACAUGAACGAUGAUUAUCGAAGAACUUGGCCAUGGACUCUCUUCUCACAAUUGUAAAUAUCACAAAGCAUCCAUGUUGGAGUACCGAAACAAGUCAAAAAGUUCUCCAACAAAAUUAUUGGAAAGAACGCAAAAUUAAACACAUCAAGAUAGCCGUCCAUACCUCAUCGAAUAUCCAUUUUGUAAUGCAUGCUCUAGUGUCCUGUGUUAAGAGCAGGAAAGCAAUAUUAUCUUCGCAACAUAAUGUGUAGUGUCCUUAUGGUCUCCCUCAACAUCUUCCCUUGAGAGAUGUAAGAAAAUCAUAAAUCAUCUAAUUACUACUGAAAAGUAAAAUGUAGAAGUCCGUAGUGUCUACCGAUUUCGCCAUAGCCCCAUUUUCCUUUUUUUUUGAGACCUGGAUUCCUUGCGUAAUUUCAUCCAUCUCUUAGUUUUUUUGGAAUCGUUGAAUUCAUCACUCGACGUCAUCUAGCAGUUCGAUUCUAUUUGAGAGACCACGCUUGUUUAUUGCAAUUCAGAAUUGCAUUGAUUCUAUCGUUGCUGUAUUUGCAAUUCAAUCCGAAUCAAUAUAUCCCAAAAAAAUUCUAGAAUAUACACAAAAUCAGCCUAUUCCCCUUACUCUUAUAUGCAUCACGACUGAGUGAUAAGAAAUUGCAUCGCCACGAAGAGAUUUUAUUUUUUUGCUGAUACUUACUCUCAUCUUGAGAGGAAAAGAGACUUAUUUUUUCUGUUCUGUAUCGAACCACAACAUUUGAACUCUACGAAGAUUGCCAUAGCUCAUAACCUGCAACACAAGAAGUAUUUGUAGAUGAUAGAUCUAUGAACAGAAACAAUUGGAGUGUCAAUCUAACCAUCAAACCUUGAUACAAUUUGCCUUAAACAAUUUUGACUACAGGUAACCUAGGUAACCAGUUAAAGUUAUUAAGAUGGAUCGUUAUGAUAGCUCAUCAGACUAUUCUAAUAUAUCUCAACUUAUACAGAUUGUACAUAAUUUUUAGAUUGUUUAGCGAAUUAAACUUAAAACAUUUAUAAUAAACAUUUCUCACUAGUGGGUUUAGUUAUCAGUAUAUCGGUGUUGUUACGGCAAUAUGGAAAACAGAGCACAGUAGGAGAACCAUGUUUGUCUUUUCAAUCUUUUCAAUCUGGAUGAAAUAUAUCUUUCAUCUCCGAGUCAACAUCCAUGCCAAAAGAAUCAUGCAAAGCCGGUAAAAAAAAGAAUCAUGCAAAGAGCAUCUAAAUGUAAUACAGAAAAAAUCAUAUGUUGAUUCCUCAAUUCGCUGCAUCAUCACAAAAGGAGACACGCAAAUGAAUGCCAGGACGGACCGCAGAUAGAUCUUUCAGUAGAUGGGAUACUUAUUUAAGAGAUCUACAACAGGAUGCCUAACACUAAGAUAAUGUUCAAUCCGCAACAGUUGUUACCUUCUACUUUACCAAAAAUCAAAUAGAAAGUCAUUUGAUGAACAGAAAAUAGUAAAGGAAAAACAAAAAGAGGGAGAAGGGAAUGCACAAACCUCUUCAGAAUUUGUAAAAAUUGAUAGCUCCUUCUCAAUUAACUCGGCCACUGACUUCAUAUAUCCAUCUUUCAUGGAUGCCGUUGUAUUAGAAUUUCAGGCUGUACAGUUAGAAGAUGAGAUUUCAUAUGACAAGUCAACUUACUUGACCAAAUGCUUCGUUAACUUACUUGACCAGCAUAUGAUGGGUCUAUGACAGAGCCAAAUGCCAAAUAUCAGAUUUGCAAUAGGAUCAACAAGAUCAUAUAUAAUCCCUCAAAAAAGAAAAACAAGAUCAUAUUAACUUCAGCUGAUGCAUUCACCUGAAAGUGAAUCAAUAAUACUGGAUUCAGUUCACAUAUAACUUCACAAAUAUAUCCAAUUGGAUCAAAAUGUAUUAACUUUCAGGGAUCUAUGAAAGCCAGCAAUUUUCGAUUCUCACUAACAUGUAGGAAACAAACUUUGAUGGUGGCUAUGUAUACCCACACCCACUGUAGUUUAUAUGCAGCAAAAAAACACGUAAGGAAUACAUCCACCAGAGUUAUAUCAUUGCCUCCAGUGAUAGACCAGACAAUUCUUGUUGCUCUUUUAACGCCAAUAUCCAGUAGCAGAGACUUCAAGCUCUAGUAUCAGCACAUAUAGGACUCAACAGACUAAUAAAACAAGCAAAAGUGAAAGAGAAAACAAUGAUACAUAUGCUAUUGUUUGAUUAAAUAACUGGAUGGAAUUGACUCUAGUGAACCAUUAGCAAUCAGGAAAAUACAAACAUAAAAGGCAUGAAAGAGAUUGAAGUAUCAGUUAAAAUCAGCCUAAUGCAGAUUUUUCUACUGGAUUCCAUAAAGCACAAAAGAUUACAAAGAGCUAGAGUCUACAAAGAGCCAACAGAAGAAACCAUUAAGACACACUCACACAUACUUAUCAAAGAAUAGUGAAACAAAGAUUUUUCUACACAAGAGGAUGGGGAAGCAGUAAUCGAGAACUCACCUUACCACACGAUAUUGAUCCCUCCCACUUCGACGGCGGCAGCCGCCGUCAUUGCGGACGUCUCGAGCACCCUCACCUCGGCUGGCGGCAUCGGGCACUCGAUGCGUUGAGAAGGGAGAGAGCAGGUGGCGUCACGGGGACGCGGCGCGGCGGAGGACGGCUCUCCCACGGCGGCGGCAUGGUGAGGAGGAGGCGGAUCUCGGCCUGGCGGGCGGCGGCCUCGGCGCGCAUCUCGGCCUCCUCCUCGCGCUCCUCGGCCUCACGCCAGUACGAGGAGAAGGCGGAUCGGAGCGGGCCGUGUGCGAGGAGGUGGAGGUGGAUCUGGGCGGGUGUGUGCGAGGAGGAGACGGCGUUGGCAGAGAGAGAUCGGGGCGGUGGCGGUGCGAGCAGAGGAGGAGCGCGAGGAGAGGCAGGUGGGCGGUGGCGGCGGCGCGUGGGCAGCGGGCUGGGCGAGACGCGAGAACAUGAAAGAGAAGAAACGAUUCGGAGUUCGGGCGGUGGCAUAGAGACGUAAUUUCUGUGAAGUUGGGACGACGUACGAGCCUACGGGCUACCACGGAUGCAACUGCAAAUUAAGUAGCAGUAAUGAUUUAAUGGCAUUUUAUUGGGUGGUUAUCAGUGUGUAGGUUUUGCAGUUGAUUUAUGAAUUGAUGUGUCCUUUGACUGUAUCUAAAUCUUGUGUGUUCUUUUUACCAUGUGGAUCGUUGCUUUGUAUAACCUGCAGUUCUAGUAUAUCCUGGCUGUUCUAUGUUUGCAUAAGUAGCUGAUUAUUAGUAAUUAAUUGACGACAGUUAUUACCUGCUGCAUAUAGAAGCCAAUCGAAUAAUUAAUUGACGACAGUUAUUACCUGCUGCAUAUAGAAACCAAUCAAAUAGCUGCAUCUAUCAAACUUAAUUAGCAUGCAUGUUUAUUUUCUCGCCAUGCUUCUAUCGACUUUUAUAUUGUGGUUAAUCUACUGUUGUGGUGUGCCAUUGAUAUUUCAACACUUCAAAUAUGUUAGAGUUGAACCCAUUUUGUAAGCUAAUUGUUUUUUUAAUAGUCUGUUUCUUUGCGAUUGUCAGGUGAGCACGAGCAACGCCUCUGUUGAGUUCUUCCUCCUAAGACCUUCAGAUCCAUGAAGGUUAGCCGACCUAGUUAUACAGCAUGUUGUGGUUCUCGUUAAAAUCAAAAUGUUUACUAAUUAUCUUAUCUCAUGUCGUAGGAUGAUAUAGAAGCCUUAGGGUGCGUUUGGUUCUGCUUUACUUUCGGAAAAAACUGUUUUGCUUUUCAUGCUGUGGAAAAGCAGGAAGCGUGAUUGGUUAGAACAACUGCUUUUAUUUUUUAAUUAUCUGAAGACUGUUUAUAUGUGAAUUGAUCGUAAAUUUAUGAUCUUUGCUUUUGCUUUUAUUGUGACGACGAAGAAAAAAUUAAUUUUGAUUCUAAUUAUUGUUUACAUAAGAAAUAAAGACCUUCGUUCUAUACUAUAACACAAAAUAUAUAUGGUUCACGCGAUAAUGUAUGCCAUGGACAUAGCUAAACUACCUCGCUCUCGCAGCAAACAAAGCAUUGGCGAUCCUAUCACGAAUGAUGUUCAUGGUAACCACGCCAGGUCCCUCGGGAACGACAUAUCCGUUCUCUCCCUCUGAACCGUCAUCCCCUUUUCCAACCUCGGCCCCUUCAGCCAUGUAUUCUUCAUCUGCAUCACAGCUAUCAAAUUCCAUAUCAGGCAACUUUCUAUCAUGAAUGAAAUUGUGCAAGGCAAUGCAAGCUACAAUGAUCCUCGUUUGUGCUCGAGACUUGAAACUUGGCAUAGAUUUUAAUAUGCGUCAUUUUUGCUUUAGAACAGCAAAUGAACGCUCAAUGACAUUGCGAAGUGAUGAAUGCAACAUUUUAGGGUUUUGAGCCCAUCAGUUGAAAUUAUUCUGUCGAAAAACACAAACCAACAUUUAAACCAUUGGACUCAUUCCUCCCUCGAAGUCGAAGAUGCCUUUUCCAUCUCCCCAGACUUAAGCAUCAAAUCAGGAAGAAGAGGAGGACUUUCAGCCAACCUAAAGGGCGUGCGGGCAAAAAUGGCCACGCCUCCGAAUCCACCGCCACCACCACCUGCUACCUCGAGUUCCUCCGCGCCCCCUUUCAAAACAGACGCCGAAAACCCAAACCCCGACCACGCGCCAGCCCUUGGGGCACCUGCCCUGCCGGCGCCGCCGCCGCAACCGGCCAUCUCCAUAGGCCCGUCCUACAUGGUCCUCUCCCUGCGCUGCGUCAUCGGCGAGCUCCGCGCCCGAGGACACCUCGCGGGGCUGGAGAUCCCCGACGGUGAGCUCACCGAAGCGGGGGCGCCCGCCCUUUUCGUCGACGUACUCGCUGCCUUCCUGGCCGAGGUGCAGGUACCAUGUGCGCUCCCGACUCUUGCAAUGCCUCCUGUGUUCGUGGCCGACCGCCCGGUGGACCUGCUCCGCUUGUAUCUUGCUGUGCGCUCUCGCGGCGGAUUCGCCGCCGUGUCCUCCUGGGCGGCCGUCGCUGUGGCGCUAGGUCUCGAACCGACCGCUUACUCCGCCAUCAAGCUGGUGUACGCCAAGUAUCUCUCCCUCCUGGAGCAGAGCAUCUGGAAGCCACGGAAGCAGGAUGGGGUGGUCGAGAGCAGUGGCAAUGCAGACCACCGAUCGAAGGCGAAGAAAGGCAAGUUCAUGUCGCCCCAUAAGGACCACGCGAGCGCCGGAUCAUCUCAGCUGAAGCGGAAGAGGAAUGUGCUUGUGGAGAUGCUUAACUGGGUCCGCCUUGUGGCGAAGAGCCCAGGUGAACAUUCGAUCGUUGGACAGAGUCCUGGCAGCCAGUUCCCCUUGAUGCUCAUGCUCCGUCGCGAGAUGACUGCUUCGCCGCAGGUAAUCCCGUGCCACGCAAUUUUGAUCCUUACAUAUGAGAUGAAUAUAAUACUCCCUCCGAUCCAUAAUAAGUGUCUCAGAUUUUGCACUAACUUAGUACAAACUUGUACUAAAUCUGAGACACUUAUUAUGGAUCGGAGGGAGUAUGUUUGAUUUUAUGGUUCUGUUCAUUCAGUGGUGGAUCUAGAUUCAUGAUUUUGUCAUUUUUUUAAUUUUGUCCAAUUAUAGAUGUUGGUCCUUAGAUUUACCUGUACUCCUGUACACAAGUGCUAUUAUUCAUCAAACGAGAAUUACAUAUCAUUGUUCACGUGCCUGACUAGGGGGCAUCAUUAGGAAUGCUAGAGCAUUUUCCACUAUUUUGGCACGGCCAUUUUCCAUCUAGCCCAAGGAAUAUGAAGUUCUCUUCCUUCCUCAUUCUUUUCCCAUCUAAGGGGUCCAGAAACCUCAGCGAUGGUGAUCUUUAACAUGCCUCUACUUCUGGUCCAUUGUAUGUGUGGCCCAUCUUAUUUUGGAGAAAGGGAAACAUAACAUUUUCCAUAUAUAGUGUUGUUAUAAUCGUAGUUACAAGGUAAAACAAUGGUAGCUUUUUCCAAGAAAAAUGUAUUGAACAGACCCUGUUCGGUCUACUUCAAGUUCUCUUUGGACAGAAAUUUGGUAUAAACACAAACUCUAGCAGUUGCAGGCGGCGAUUGAACCGGAAACCUUAGACUACCGAGUCACACAUGCACGGUGAAGGCUGAAUAGUGAAUACUAACUGGGCUGCAUGGACAUUGGGACUACUAUCACAAGGUUGUGGCUCUUAUAUAGAUUCUGAGCUCACAAUCACUGCAAUUUGACUCAAAACACUUCAAUAUUAUAUAUUUCACAUGCAUUGAACCAGCUGAAUUGCUUGUUUACUUUAAAAUUGAAAUGUAUCCCUAGGUAUAACUGCAAAAUUCAACAUGUUUGUGAAAUAUCGGUGCACCUCAUAGAGUUGUAGCACAACCCUCUUUUGGUUAAUCCCACGUGAGAGGUUCUGCUAGUGCUUACCACGAGUGGUUUGUUUGCAGCUAUAGAAUCCAAGGUGCAGCUUAUUAAAACUAUACCAUCUUUUACCUAUUUAUAGUUAGAGAAUACGCCGAUGGUGGUGCACCAACAAUCUCUUUAAUUAUUUGCUUUCCUUGGUAAAACUCAAACUGAUACCAUGCCAACUGUUCUAUGUGAAAUUUCAGAGAGAACUAACUAAUAUGACUUGAUUAGUACUACAACCUUAUAGCAGAGUCAGACAAAUGGUUUGCAUAUUAGUAUCUCCUCAUCAUUUGUAGCCCAAGAAAGCUUCCUCCAGCUUCAGCCCGUCCAAGCAUAGCCCAACAAAGGUUCUGAGUUGGCGCGUGGUGUUUUGAUUUCUUUCGGAAAGGGAGUGUGUGCGACUUGUCUAUUUCAAGAAUAGAUUGGAUAUAUCCAGCUGUACUUUAGAAUAUUUUUUAAUAUUGUUUGGGUUAAUACAAAUAGUGCGCAUGAUCUCGACGAAUUACUUCUGAAGAAAUUCAGAUAUCAUCUGGAAGGACCAUAGCAUUUCGUGACUCAUUGGUAAAUCUACCUUCAUUCGCUGUAAACCAAUAACGUGAGACCAAUUAACACGGUUCAAGCUAAUCUGCUUGAAGACCAGGCAAAAAGGGGUAUUAUUUCUAACACUAUUCGGCUUCUGAGCACUUCAAACUUGAACAUACUUACACAUCCUGGGUCUGUGAAUCUGUUGACCCCUGCAUGCUCUGCCUCGUUUGUGGCGGUCUAGAUUUGGUGUGGUUCAUCUUGCACAGUUGAGAUCAUUUUUAUAGUGUUCAUGGCUAACAACAUCAAGAACGUCUGUUGGAGGGUCAAUAUCUUCCACAUACAAAUUUGGUAUUUAGCAUGUUACUGGAAAUGUCUCAAAAUGAUUUACAGCUGUAUAGUUUAUCAGGCCUUUUCGGUUUGCUACCAAAUUUUGCAAGUCAAAAUGAUUAUGACACAUUUGAAAACCUGGUUAACAUAAGGAUGAGGUGUAGCUACAUAUUUGGAAAGUUGAUCCGCAAAAAAAACAUAUUUGGAAAGUUUUUCAGAAUGUAAAUAUUGCAGUGGAUGCAUAUAUCUGUAAACUGACAACUCAGUUGGCUUAUUAAUAAUCCUCUAGGCUUUUCGAUAUUUCGGAUAUGAUUAUUACAUGCUUUUGCAAAUAGAAUUUAAUUCAGGGAAUGAUCUGAAGUUCGAGUUCUCUCUGACGGCGGUUUAAGCUUAUCUUGGUAGUGGUCAUAAGACUAAGGUAGCACAAGCUAACUGUAAGAAUAUCUUGAAACAUUUUAGUGUGAGUGGAUUUGGUAUAUAUUUCUUCAGUCAUAUGAACCACUCUAAAUCCUUCCGACCUUAUCAAAGGUCCGGUGUUAUAUUGUGCUUCCUCUAGUUGUAGCAUGGCAAGACUGAGUAAUUAAGAUUGUUUUGUUGUGCUAUGCCACUUGAUAUAUGCUGCAGUUGACACCAUGUACUUUCUUAUAGGCCCUUCCAGUUUGUUUUGGUGGCAUGAACUCUCUAUUUCUGCUUAGAGACCACACGUAUGAUCAUCAGAGAACUUAAAACUGCUGUCAUGCAUUCUGAACUAUGUUUUUAUUUUAUUUAUUUAUUUUCUCUUGUGUGAGAACGUCUAUUCAUGUUAAGGAGGUGCUCUGAAAAUCUAUAAGAGAUCAUUUUUUGUUCAUGCAGAAUGGACUUGCAGCUGAGGAGCAGACACAGUCCAAUGGAUGGGAUGAACUGUCUGCAGAUGAGAGAUGGGACAGGUUUUCUAGUGCCCGAAUUCGGCUUUGUGGCGUAGCAGAUGUUCCAGAAUGGCCUUCAUUACCUUAUGAUGAGCCACAUGUGUUGAGAUUUCUUGGACAACCUCUUUUGCCUCCAGAAAGUAAUGAAGCCCUUGACGCUGACACUAUUGGUAUGGGCAGACCAGACAAGUGCAACUGCCAACUCCCAGGUUCCAUUGCUUGUAUUAGAUUUCAUGUGACUGAGAAGAAGAUUUUACUGAAGCGCGAGCUGGGCUCAGCUUUUUAUGCAAUGGGGUUUGAUCGUAUCGGUGAGGAUGCAGCAUUGACAUGGACAAAGGAUGAAGAGGAGAAAUUCAACGAUGCUAUCCAAAAUGGUCUGCCAUCAUCUAAGAACAGUUUCUGGGACAAACCGGAUCAUGUCUUGGUUUCCAAGAGCAGAAAAGGACUUGUGAGUUAUUAUUACAAUGUUUUCCAGCUGCGGCGAAGAGCGUACCAGAAUCGGCUCACUCCAAAUGAUGUGGAUAGUGACGAUGAUUCAAUCUAGCCUGGCUUCCUACAAAAAAAAAA